RNAcentral lists this ribosomal RNA (583 nucleotides) under uncultured Actinomycetes bacterium. RNAcentral describes it as "bacterial SSU rRNA". It matches the Rfam family "Bacterial small subunit ribosomal RNA", at positions 807 to 1387 of the family's 1533-position model. The record is from RNAcentral. Lineage: Bacteria; Bacillati; Actinomycetota; Actinomycetes.
CGUUGGGCGCUAGAUGUGGGUCACAUUCCACGUGAUCCGUGUCGCAGCUAACGCAUUAAGCGCCCCGCCUGGGGAGUACGGCCGCAAGGCUAAAACUCAAAGGAAUUGACGGGGGCCCGCACAAGCGGCGGAGCAUGCGGAUUAAUUCGAUGCAACGCGAAGAACCUUACCAAGGCUUGACAUAUACAGGAAAACUGCAGAAAUGUAGUCCCCCGCAAGGGUCUGUAUACAGGUGGUGCAUGGUUGUCGUCAGCUCGUGUCGUGAGAUGUUGGGUUAAGUCCCGCAACGAGCGCAACCCUCGUCCUAUGUUGCCAGCACGUUAUGGUGGGAACUCAUGGGAGACUGCCGGGGUCAACUCGGAGGAAGGUGGGGAUGACGUCAAAUCAUCAUGCCCCUUAUGUCUUGGGCUUCACGCAUGCUACAAUGGCCGGUACAAAGGGCUGCAAUACCGCAAGGUGGAGCGAAUCCCAAAAAGCCGGUCUCAGUUCGGAUUGAGGUCUGCAACUCGACCUCAUGAAGUCGGAGUCGCUAGUAAUCGCAGAUCAGCAACGCUGCGGUGAAUACGUUCCCGGGCCUUGUACA